UACGUAGGGUGCGAGCGUUAAUCGGAAUUACUGGGCGUAAAGCGUGCGCAGGCGGUUCGUUAAGUCAGAUGUGAAAGCCCCGGGCUCAACCUGGGAACUGCAUUUGAAACUGGCGGGCUUGAGUAUGGCAGAGGGGGGUGGAAUUCCGCGUGUAGCAGUGAAAUGCGUAGAGAUGCGGAGGAAUACCAGUGGCGCAAGCGGCGCUCUGGGUCGAGCCUGACACUGAGACGCGAAGGCAUGGGGAGCGAACGGG
RNAcentral lists this ribosomal RNA (253 nucleotides) under uncultured bacterium. Its description in RNAcentral is "partial 16S ribosomal RNA". It matches the Rfam family "Bacterial small subunit ribosomal RNA", at positions 524 to 776 of the family's 1533-position model. The record is from RNAcentral.